Long non-coding RNA from Micropterus salmoides (largemouth bass), 583 nucleotides. RefSeq lists it as uncharacterized. The record is from RefSeq and is a predicted model, not a curated record. The transcript has 3 exons. Lineage: Eukaryota; Metazoa; Chordata; Actinopteri; Centrarchiformes; Centrarchidae.
UCUGGUCAUUGUUGGUGUUACUCCCUGUCAGUCGUGGCUUCAGUCGCCCAGUGUUUCAUCUUUCUAUUUUCUGCUCUUGGUGUUUUGGAUUACCUGUGUUGGAUUUUGGUUUCGUUUCUCAUUUGGCUUUUUAUGGACUCAGCCACUCAGUAUACAGAUUGUUGCUGCUGUUUGUCCACAAGAUGAUGAUUCUAAACUAUUGUCCUUUGUCAUAAAUGCAGGGGAGCUGAUUGCAGAAUCCAUCCAGAAGUGGAGCACCUGUGUCCCCCUCUACCCAAUGUAAAAGUCCCAGCUUCCAGCUUGUGCACCUUGCUGCUUUGCUUAACCUUUUGUUUCUACUUUUACUCCACAAUAUAUGAACACUACUGAUUAGGUUCCCAUCCAUAGGUUCUAUCAUUAUAAUUACUGUUACAACACAUUAUUUGUAGUCAUACAAAACAACUGUUAAUUUUGUAACCUUUUAAUAUUGAUGAUUUCAUGAAUGCAAAAUAUGGUUUUGUGUAUUGGAAUUCAGACUAAAUGUAUUUGGAAUAAAAUUAUAUUCUUCAAUGAUCAGUUUACAGUAAACAGCUUUAAAUGAAAA